CCUACGGGAGGCAGCAGUGAGGAAUAUUGGUCAAUGGCCGAGAGGCUGAACCAGCCAAGUCGCGUGAGGGAAGAAUGUCCUAUGGAUUGUAAACCUCUUUUGUCAGGGAGCAAAGUCACCCACGUGUGGGUGUUGGAGAGUACCUGAAGAAAAAGCAUCGGCUGACUCCGUGCCAGCAGCCGCGGUAAUACGGAGGAUGCGAGCGUUAUCCGGAUUUAUUGGGUUUAAAGGGUGCGUAGGCGGGUUAUCAAGUCAGCGGUAAAAUCGUGGAGCUCAACUCCAUCCAGCCGUUGAAACUGAUGAUCGUGAGUGGGCGAGAAGUAUGCGGAAUGCGUGGUGUAGCGGUGAAAGGCAUAGAUAUCACGCAGAACUACGAUUGCGAAGGCAGCAUACCGGCGCCCGACUGACGCUGAAGCACGAAAGCGUGGGUAUCGAACAGGAUUAGAUACCCCGGUAGUC
RNAcentral lists this ribosomal RNA (459 nucleotides) under uncultured bacterium. RNAcentral's name for it is "partial 16S ribosomal RNA". It matches the Rfam family "Bacterial small subunit ribosomal RNA", at positions 338 to 795 of the family's 1533-position model. The record is from RNAcentral.